This 459-nucleotide ribosomal RNA is filed under the name uncultured bacterium. RNAcentral's name for it is "partial 16S ribosomal RNA". It matches the Rfam family "Bacterial small subunit ribosomal RNA", at positions 338 to 795 of the family's 1533-position model. The record is from RNAcentral.
CCUACGGGUGGCAGCAGUGAGGAAUAUUGGUCAAUGGCCGGAAGUCUGAACCAGCCAAGCCGCGUGAAGGACGAAGGUGCCAAGCAUUGUAAACUUCUUUUGUCAAGGGACAAAAUCAGGCUCGAGAGCCUGACCGCGGGUACUUUAAGAAAAAGCAUCGGCUAACUCCGUGCCAGCAGCCGCGGUAAUACGGAGGAUGCGAGCGUUAUCCGGAUUUAGUGGGUUUAAAGGGUGCGUAGGCGGGCUGUUAAGUCAGCGGUAAAAGCCCGGGGCUCAACCCCGGCGAGCCGUGGAAACUGGGGGUCUUGAGAGGGCGAGAGGUAGGCGGAAUGCGGAGUGUAGCGGUGAAAUGCUUAGAUAUUGCGCAGAACUCCGAUUGCGAAGGCAGCAUACCGGCGGGGAUCUGACGCUGAGGCACGAAAGCGUGGGUAUCGAACAGGAUUAGAUACCCCUGUAGUC